Molecule: ribosomal RNA, 525 nt
Filed under: Triticum aestivum (bread wheat)
Lineage: Eukaryota; Viridiplantae; Streptophyta; Magnoliopsida; Poales; Poaceae
Description: partial small subunit ribosomal RNA
Source: RNAcentral
AUGGGGGCCGAAGCCACCGACCGCUGCCUGGAGCCUCGCCUACGCUACGUCCCCCACUGGACCUCCCCUGUUUUGCCUCCCGCACCAAGCUCCUCAAGUUCCGCGUCCGUCAUGGCCAUGGAGCUCGUCGGCGUCGUCCUCGCCUGCAUCCGCCUCGGCCCUUGUCAGCAAGCUUCCGCAGCGUCUGGCCCUGCCAUGGCGGCUCGGCCUCCCCUGCUUCCUGUGUUAACCACCGCACCAAGUCCCAGUCUCGCGCUCGGCCUCUGGAUCGAUCGAUCCAAUGCCAUGCCAGGCCUCCCCAUGUCCCGCCCAGCUAGGGCCUCCUCAACCGGCCUACCUCCUCCACCGAACGGGCCAAUGGCCCAUGGUGAGCAGCCCAACUGCCUCAAUGCACUGUUCAAUUUCAGCCCGAUUCAUGUUUUUUCGCAGAACGAAUUUAGCUAUUUUGUCCAGGAACUGCAUAUUUACAAUUUGCCCCCUGUUGUUCAUGCAUUUAAUAUCUCACCAACCAUGCAUCCAAAUUAG